Molecule: long non-coding RNA, 1301 nt
Organism: Teleopsis dalmanni
Lineage: Eukaryota; Metazoa; Arthropoda; Insecta; Diptera; Diopsidae
Exons: 4
Source: RefSeq, a predicted model, not a curated record
UGAUGGACAAGAAAACUUCAUUCAGUUCCGGACGUAAAUCGCUGCUGUGCGGUUGUAAAGUACGGAGAAUUCAAUAAGAGGAAGUGUUUCAUUUUCGGUGUCAUAAAGAUAAAUAAACGAAUUGCAGUCAUUGCAGCCGCCAUAAGCAAAUAAAAGGAAAAUCAUAACAAAGCAAGCCAACGUCUGCUGCUUUCACAUCCUUUUGGCAUCCUUGCUUGCUUGCUUGCUUGGUUGCCUGCCUGCUUCAUUGCUUGGCAAAAAAAUAAAAAAAAAACAUAAGCGGUGUUUGCUUUUUACUUUUUGAAACUGCUUCACAUUGUUUUUUGCUUCAUUUUUUUGUUUUUUCGAAUGUUUUGGCAAUCGAGACUUUACCUACCACUCGUAUGCAGUGAACAGUAAAAACAGCAUAAAACCAGCAUAACAUAAAAAAGAAGUGAAAAAUAAAAAUAUUUUUUUGUUUGUUUGUUUGUUUGAAGCAGAAAUCCUGCAAGUCUACCAAAUCUUCUUGCCAUUAUUGCAUUUCUACUUGCUGCUUUGCGUUCGUUCAUUUUAAAGCAGUACAGUGAAAACAGUUAAAACAAACAACAACAACAACGUUAACAUCGGAGUCGAAAUCGGCAUUGGCAUCGACAUCGACAUCGACGUCAGCUUGACAAUUUGUAACUAUAACUGCAGUAACGGCAUUGGCAGCAUCAGUAUUAAUUGCAACAACAACAACAACAACAACAGUAAUAGUAGCAGUGACUGUGACAAUAACAGUGGCAGUGACAGUGGCAAUAAUUUUGAUUUUGAUUUUGAUUCUUGUUACGACUGACCACCACAAGUGUUAAAAGCAACAACAAAAGCGGUGCAGUUGUCACGCGGAAAAAAGUUAAUAAAUAAUCAAAAAAAAAAAAAUAAAUAAAAGAAAGUAAAAGUUUAAAUAUUAAACAGAAAAUUAUUCAUUUUCAUAGUUUUGUUGUUAACACAAGUUGAAGAAAAAGUGUGCAGUGUUUGUAAAAAAAUUUUUUGUCAAUAAUAAAUACAACAAAUUUUUGAUAAUUACACAUAGCAAAGGUGUAAAUAUACAUGAAAAAAGUUUUUUUUGCAUAUAAAAAAUUUAUUGAGCCCGCAGCAACAAAGUUUCAAGUUGAUAAAUUUAAACAAAAAAAAACAAAAAACACAAAAAUUAUAUAAAAAUCGACGACAAUAAAUUGGCCAUAAUAAAUACAUACAAAUUCAGUUGCUAUUGCUAUAUGAUUGAAUACUGUAUUUAGCCAAUUGUAAGUUUGCACACGUAUCGAUUUGAAUUAUCAACUUUC